This 369-nucleotide ribosomal RNA is filed under the name uncultured Lachnospiraceae bacterium. RNAcentral describes it as "bacterial SSU rRNA". It matches the Rfam family "Bacterial small subunit ribosomal RNA", at positions 355 to 741 of the family's 1533-position model. Lineage: Bacteria; Bacillati; Bacillota; Clostridia; Lachnospirales; Lachnospiraceae. The record is from RNAcentral.
UGGGGAAUAUUGCACAAUGGAGGAAACUCUGAUGCAGCGACGCCGCGUGAGCGAUGAAGUAUUUCGGUAUGUAAAGCUCUAUCAGCAGGGAAGAUAACGACGGUACCUGAGUAAGAAGCUCCGGCUAAAUACGUGCCAGCAGCCGCGGUAAUACGUAUGGAGCAAGCGUUAUCCGGAUUUACUGGGUGUAAAGGGAGUGUAGGCGGCUUUGCAAGUCAGAUGUGAAAGCCCGGGGCUCAACCCCGGGACUGCAUUUGAAACUGUGAAGCUGGAGUGUCGGAGAGGUAAGUGGAAUUCCUAGUGUAGCGGUGAAAUGCGUAGAGAUUAGGAAGAACACCGGUGGCGAAGGCGACUUUCUGGACGACAACU